RNAcentral lists this ribosomal RNA (253 nucleotides) under uncultured bacterium. RNAcentral describes it as "partial 16S ribosomal RNA". It matches the Rfam family "Bacterial small subunit ribosomal RNA", at positions 524 to 776 of the family's 1533-position model. The record is from RNAcentral.
UACGGAGGGUGCAAGCGUUAAUCGGAAUUACUGGGCGUAAAGCGUGCGCAGGCGGUUUGUUAAGUCUGCUGUGAAAUCCCCGAGCUCAACUUGGGAAUUGCAGUGGAUACUGGCAGGCUGGAGUAUGGUAGAGGAAAGUGGAAUUCCCGGUGUAGCAGUGAAAUGCGUAGAUAUCGGGAGGAACACCUGUGGCGAAAGCGGCUCACUGGACCAUAACUGACGCUGAUGCACGAAAGCUGGGGGAGCAAACAGG